UAUUAUUUCAGGUUAGUGAACUAAUUUAUUUUUUUUCUGUUUUACUCUUUAGUAUAAUACGCAUUGUGACCUUUUAGCUGAUGUGUAUAUUAUAAGAGCAACAACAAAUCUAUUUUCCUUCUUUAUAUCCAAAUCACCAAGAAGCUUUAUUGUUGGAAUAUUAACUCCAUCAAAGAAGAGAUUUUGUCUAUGUCAAUGGAACUGCAGCAACUAAAGAUUAAAGGAUGGAGUCUAGAUUGAACAGGAAAAGAGGGAAAAGCAAAGGAUGCAAAGGUGGUGGAAAAUAUUGAACCAUGUGCUUGUCUCCAGACUCCAAAGGCAAAGAAAACAGAGAGAGGCUAAAGGAAAUACAUAUUGUGCUCCCAUCCCUGGAGUAUAGUAAUGCAGUUCUAGUGAUAGUAUUUCUUUUCUUUACCAUUUUUCUCCAGUCUGACUGGCCAGAGUUGAAAAUAUGUGUCACUUUGCAGCUACUGGAGUCCUUAUGUUGGCCCAGAAGAAAUCACAAGUGAAGCUAAUGUUCAAGAAGCAGAAGAAAGAUCCUUCCCACCAUUCCUGACCAGAGGAAAGGGCUUUUGGGACACCAUCUGUCCUACUGCUCCCAGCCCAGAGGAGAGGGCUUUGGGACACCAUUUGUCCCACCGCUCCCGGCCCAGAGGAAGGGGCUUCUGAGAUGCCAUCCCAGUGCUUCUGGUCCAGAGGAAGGGGCUUCUGGGCCACUAUCUAGCCCACAGCUCCCGGCACAGAGGAAGGGGCUUCUGGGCCACUAUCUAGGUCACUGCUCCCGGCACAGAGGAAGGGGCUUCUGGGCCACCAUCUCUCCUACCACUCCUGGCCCAGAGGAAAGGAUUUUUGAGCCACCAUCCCUACCACCGCUUCUGGCCCCUGUCCCACCUCUCCCAGCUCAGAGGAGAUGAGCCCCGCAAGCACCAACAACACAACAUCCCAUCCCCAUUCAAAGGAGAAGACACAUAAAUAAGAUGCAAAACAAGACUUCCACAUCACCUACAGCAACCCCAAAGGGAAACAAGAUGGAACAUUCUGAUAUUCAACCACCUGGAC
Molecule: long non-coding RNA, 1059 nt
Filed under: Heterocephalus glaber (naked mole-rat)
Lineage: Eukaryota; Metazoa; Chordata; Mammalia; Rodentia; Bathyergidae
Description: lncRNA (ENSHGLG00100033656.1)
Source: RNAcentral